UGAAUAAAUAUCCAUUAUGAUGUAAUAUAAUUUAAAAUUAAAUUGUGUUGAUAUAAAAGCCGAGUGAUUGAGGUUUAUGGGUCUUAUUAGUUGAAUUAAAUAUAAAGAAAGCCUUGCUUUGACGAAAAUGGGAGUAAGAAUAUGGUUUUGUAUGUGUUUAUUUGCACUCUGCGUACCACUGGUAUCAUCUUUCUCAAGCAAAGUAUUGUAUUCAACCUACAAUGCAAUUAUGGAAUUCGAUCUUGAUACACGCAAUGUGACUAAACUGUUAGAGCCUGGAAGUAAUCGUGUGUUUGCCAUGGACUAUGAUUACAAACACAGAUUCAUUUAUUUUCCAAGAUACGAUACCCAUGACAUCGUUCGAUUUGCAUAUCCCUCAACGAACAGAACAUUACAUACAGUUGUCCAGACUGAUCCAUAUCCAAUAGGACUAGCUGUUGAUUCAACCAAUGAGCAUUUCUACUUUGUUGUUAUUGCUGCU
This is a long non-coding RNA of Mytilus californianus (California mussel), 481 nucleotides long. RefSeq lists it as uncharacterized. The record is from RefSeq and is a predicted model, not a curated record. The transcript has 3 exons. Lineage: Eukaryota; Metazoa; Mollusca; Bivalvia; Mytilida; Mytilidae.